UACGGGGGGGGCAAGCGUUGUCCGGAAUCACUGGGCGUAAAGGGCGCGUAGGUGGCGCCGCAAGUCCAUGGUGAAAGCUCGAUGCUCAACAUCGAGUCGGCCACGGAGACUGCGGGGCUCGAGCACUGUAGGGGCAGAUGGAAUUCCGGGUGUAGCGGUGGAAUGCGUAGAGAUCCGGAAGAACACCGGUGGCGAAGGCGGUCUGCUGGGCAGUUGCUGACACUGAGGCGCGACAGCGUGGGGAGCAAACAGG
This 253-nucleotide ribosomal RNA is filed under the name uncultured bacterium. RNAcentral's name for it is "partial 16S ribosomal RNA". It matches the Rfam family "Bacterial small subunit ribosomal RNA", at positions 524 to 776 of the family's 1533-position model. The record is from RNAcentral.